This 777-nucleotide ribosomal RNA is filed under the name Bacillus subtilis. RNAcentral's name for it is "bacterial SSU rRNA". It matches the Rfam family "Bacterial small subunit ribosomal RNA", at positions 56 to 816 of the family's 1533-position model. The record is from RNAcentral. Lineage: Bacteria; Bacillati; Bacillota; Bacilli; Caryophanales; Bacillaceae.
UGCAGUCGAGCGGACAGAUGGGAGCUUGCUCCCUGAUGUUAGCGGCGGACGGGUGAGUAACACGUGGGUAACCUGCCUGUAAGACUGGGAUAACUCCGGGAAACCGGGGCUAAUACCGGAUGGUUGUUUGAACCGCAUGGUUCAAACAUAAAAGGUGGCUUCGGCUACCACUUACAGAUGGACCCGCGGCGCAUUAGCUAGUUGGUGAGGUAACGGCUCACCAAGGCAACGAUGCGUAGCCGACCUGAGAGGGUGAUCGGCCACACUGGGACUGAGACACGGCCCAGACUCCUACGGGAGGCAGCAGUAGGGAAUCUUCCGCAAUGGACGAAAGUCUGACGGAGCAACGCCGCGUGAGUGAUGAAGGUUUUCGGAUCGUAAAGCUCUGUUGUUAGGGAAGAACAAGUACCGUUCGAAUAGGGCGGUACCUUGACGGUACCUAACCAGAAAGCCACGGCUAACUACGUGCCAGCAGCCGCGGUAAUACGUAGGUGGCAAGCGUUGUCCGGAAUUAUUGGGCGUAAAGGGCUCGCAGGCGGUUUCUUAAGUCUGAUGUGAAAGCCCCCGGCUCAACCGGGGAGGGUCAUUGGAAACUGGGGAACUUGAGUGCAGAAGAGGAGAGUGGAAUUCCACGUGUAGCGGUGAAAUGCGUAGAGAUGUGGAGGAACACCAGUGGCGAAGGCGACUCUCUGGUCUGUAACUGACGCUGAGGAGCGAAAGCGUGGGGAGCGAACAGGAUUAGAUACCCUGGUAGUCCACGCCGUAAACGAUGAGUGC